CCUUAAUUCUCCUCUGUUCUUCAAUAAGACACUGCUAUAGUCAUUGUGUAGAGGCCAGUCCCAUGUUCCUAUGCCUCUGGCCACCAACCAACAACAUUGUGUCCUAUCCUGAGGCUACAUUCUGUCAAGACCAGUACAGCACUGAGUUUUUGCCAAGUACACCUUAUGGAUUAUGAUGUUUUCCUGCAAGUUUGACCCCUUUAUCAUUAUGCAAUGCCCCAUUCUACCUCUGUGAAGCUGACUUGAACCAAGAUUAAUGUAACUACUCCAGCUCUCCUUUGGCUCCUCAGCUGCUGUUACACCCUUCUUGGAUGG
This 315-nucleotide long non-coding RNA is filed under the name Heterocephalus glaber (naked mole-rat). RNAcentral's name for it is "lncRNA (ENSHGLG00000046630.1)". Lineage: Eukaryota; Metazoa; Chordata; Mammalia; Rodentia; Bathyergidae. The record is from RNAcentral.